UGCUGGAGCGAAUAGAAGUGAGCAUGCAGGCAUGAGUAGCGAUAAUUAAUGUGAGAAUCAUUAACGCCGUAAACCCAAGGUUUCCUACGCGAUGCUCGUCAUCGUAGGGUUAGUCGGGUCCUAAGUCGAGUCCGAAAGGGGUAGACGAUGGCAAAUUGGUUAAUAUUCCAAUACCAACAUUAGUGUGCGAUGGAAGGACGCUUAGGGCUAAGGGGGCUAGCGGAUGGAAGUGCUAGUCUAAGGUCGUAGGAGGUUAUACAGGCAAAUCCGUAUAACAUACUCCGAGAACUGAAAGGCUUUUUGAAGUCUUCGGAUGGAUAGAAGAACCCCUGAUGCCAUCGAGCCAAGAAAAGUUUCUAAGUUUAGCUAAUGUUGCCCGUACCGUAAACCGACACAGGUGGGUGGGAUGAGUAUUCUAAGGCGCGUGGAAGAACUCUCUUUAAGGAACUCUGCAAAAUAGCACCGUAUCUUCGGUAUAAGGUGUGGUUCGCUUCGUAUUAGGAUUUACUCCGAAAGCGAAGAAACUUACAACAAAGAGUCCCUCCCGACUGUUUACCAAAAACACAGCACUCUGCUAACUCGUAAGAGGAUGUAUAGGGUGUGACGCCUGCCCGGUGCUCGAAGGUUAAUUGAUGGGGUUAGCAUUAGCGAAGCUCUUGAUCGAAGCCCGAGUAAACGGCGGCCGUAACUAUAACGGUCCUAAGGUAGCGAAAUUCCUUGUCGGUUAAAUACCGACCUGCAUGAAUGGCGUAACGAGAUGGGAGCUGUCUCAAAGAGGGAUCCAGUGAAAUUGUAGUGGAGGUGAAAAUUCCUCCUACCCGCGGCAAGACGGAA
This 834-nucleotide ribosomal RNA is filed under the name Campylobacter coli. RNAcentral describes it as "partial 23S ribosomal RNA". It matches the Rfam family "Bacterial large subunit ribosomal RNA", at positions 1271 to 2085 of the family's 2925-position model. The record is from RNAcentral. Lineage: Bacteria; Pseudomonadati; Campylobacterota; Epsilonproteobacteria; Campylobacterales; Campylobacteraceae.